This 411-nucleotide ribosomal RNA is filed under the name Mortierella sp. UFMGCB 3681. RNAcentral's name for it is "eukaryotic LSU rRNA". The stretch from base 7 to 160 matches the Rfam family "5.8S ribosomal RNA". The record is from RNAcentral. Lineage: Eukaryota; Fungi; Mortierellomycota; Mortierellomycetes; Mortierellales; Mortierellaceae.
ACUUUCAACAAACGGGAUCUCUGUGGGCUCUCGCAUCGAUGAAGAACGCACGCGAAAUGCGAUACGUAAUGUGAAUUCGCAGAAUCCAGUGAAUCAUCGAAUCUUUGAACGCAUAUUGCGCUCUCUGGUAUUCCGGAGAGCAUGCUUUGUUGGAGUAUCAGUAAACACCUCAACUCCCUUUCUUCUUGAAAUGGAGCUGGACUUGAGUGAUCCCAACGCUUUAUUCAUAAAGUGGCGGGUUACUUGAAAUGCAGGUGCAGCUGGACUUUUCUCUGAGCUAUAAGCAUAUCUAUUUAGUCUGCCUCAAAAACAGAUUAUUACCUUUGCUGCAGCUAACAUAAAGGAGAUUAGUUCUUGUGCUGACUGAUGCAGGAUUCACAGAAGACCGCUUCGGCUGUCUUGUAACUCGUC